AUUGAACGCUGGCGGCAGGCCUAACACAUGCAAGUCGAGCGGAUGGGUGGAGCUUGCUCCAUGAUUCAGCGGCGGACGGGUGAGUAAUGCCUAGGAAUCUGCCUGGUAGUGGGGGACAACGUUUCGAAAGGAACGCUAAUACCGCAUACGUCCUACGGGAGAAAGUGGGGGAUCUUCGGACCUCACGCUAUCAGAUGAGCCUAGGUCGGAUUAGCUAGUUGGUGAGGUAAAGGCUCACCAAGGCGACGAUCCGUAACUGGUCUGAGAGGAUGAUCAGUCAACCUGGACCUAGACACGGUUCAGAACCCUAACGGAAGCAGGCAGUGGGAAUAAUGGAACAAGGGGCAAAACCCUGUCCCAGCCAUGCGGGGUUUGUAAAGAAGGUCUUGGAUUUGUAAAGCCCUUUAGGUUGGGAGAAGGGGAAGUAAUUUAAUACCUGGUUGUUUUGACGUUCCAAACGGAAUAAGCACCGGCUACUUCGUG
RNAcentral lists this ribosomal RNA (483 nucleotides) under uncultured bacterium. Its description in RNAcentral is "partial 16S ribosomal RNA". It matches the Rfam family "Bacterial small subunit ribosomal RNA", at positions 30 to 507 of the family's 1533-position model. The record is from RNAcentral.